UGGGGAAUAUUGGACAAUGGGCGAAAGCCUGAUCCAGCCAUGCCGCGUGUGUGAAGAAGGUCUUCGGAUUGUAAAGCACUUUAAGUUGGGAGGAAGGGCAUUAACCUAAUACGUUAGUGUUUUGACGUUACCGACAGAAUAAGCACCGGCUAACUCUGUGCCAGCAGCCGCGGUAAUACAGAGGGUGCAAGCGUUAAUCGGAAUUACUGGGCGUAAAGCGCGCGUAGGUGGUUUGUUAAGUUGGAUGUGAAAUCCCCGGGCUCAACCUGGGAACUGCUUUCAAAACUGACUGACUAGUGUAUGGUAGAGGGUGGUGGAAUUUCCUGUGUAGCGGUGAAAUGCGUAGAUAUAGGAAGGAACACCAGUGGCGAAGGCGACCACCUGGACUAAUACUGACACUAAGGUGCGAAAGCGUGGGGAGCAAACA
RNAcentral lists this ribosomal RNA (427 nucleotides) under uncultured bacterium. RNAcentral's name for it is "partial 16S ribosomal RNA". It matches the Rfam family "Bacterial small subunit ribosomal RNA", at positions 355 to 774 of the family's 1533-position model. The record is from RNAcentral.